GGCUAUGGCAAUAGGAUCCUCAUAUAGUGGAACUUGAUCGAAGCCCAUGGAGAUAGAAAUCACAUCAACACCAUCAGCAACAGCUUGGUCCAUACCAGCAAGAACAUCAGAGGCAUAGCGACCCUCUCUCCACAGGACCUUAUACAUGGCUACUCUAGCUCGUGGUGCCAUACCUCUGGCUGUGCCUGUAGCAUAGCCAAAGAAUGUUGCAUCUUCAACAUAGUUCCCUGCAGCUGUGGAGGAAGUGUGGGUCCCGUGCCCACCAAUGUCCCUUGGAGAGUUCAUUACAAUUUUAAUCCCAGGAUUAGCAGCUAAAACACCUUUGUUGAAAUAUCUAGCUCCAAUCAGCUUUGAAUUGCACAUGGAGGAAUUGAACUGUUCUCCUUCUUCACAAAUUCCCUUCCAUCUGGAAGGUACUGCAGUCAUACCAUCAUCUCUGUAGCUCUUGCUCUCCGGCCAGACGCCACUGUCGAUGACUCCAAUAAUAAUAUCUUCACCGAAUUUGGAAGCAGGCCAUAGGCCGGUGAAUGGAUUGAGGGAAAGAAAUUGGUAAGUGUGGGUGGUGUCCACUGUGGCCAUCUUGUCUGUGUAAGCAGAAACAAAACCCGGGGAAUUUCUAAGAGUUUGAAGUUGAGUAGAAGAUAAAACAGCAGCAAAACCAUGAGCAACGUUAUCAUAAGAGUAGACAAAUGAUGGUGGGAGAUUUAUAUGAUCACCGUGUGAUGAGGAGACGUGAUUGUUUUUGGUAGAUUCGAGGGAAUCACAUGUUGAGGAGUACCAAUCUUGAUGGGUACUGAAGGUUUUGGGCAUCAGAGACUUGUCCAUAUGAACAAUAUAUGUGGCCCUGUCUACUGAAGUUGAGGUUGCAGCAUGAGUGCCGAAGAAAAAAUGGCUGGCAAGAAAGACCAGGAAAAGGGGAAGCAUCUUCAUUUCUUUUUUGGCUAUCUCUGAAGAAUUUGC
RNAcentral lists this unclassified non-coding RNA (960 nucleotides) under Hevea brasiliensis (rubber tree). The record is from RNAcentral. Lineage: Eukaryota; Viridiplantae; Streptophyta; Magnoliopsida; Malpighiales; Euphorbiaceae.